Molecule: ribosomal RNA, 2903 nt
Filed under: Escherichia coli
Lineage: Bacteria; Pseudomonadati; Pseudomonadota; Gammaproteobacteria; Enterobacterales; Enterobacteriaceae
Description: bacterial LSU rRNA
Rfam family: Bacterial large subunit ribosomal RNA
Source: RNAcentral
UUAAGCGACUAAGCGUACACGGUGGAUGCCCUGGCAGUCAGAGGCGAUGAAGGACGUGCUAAUCUGCGAUAAGCGUCGGUAAGGUGAUAUGAACCGUUAUAACCGGCGAUUUCCGAAUGGGGAAACCCAGUGUGAUUCGUCACACUAUCAUUAACUGAAUCCAUAGGUUAAUGAGGCGAACCGGGGGAACUGAAACAUCUAAGUACCCCGAGGAAAAGAAAUCAACCGAGAUUCCCCCAGUAGCGGCGAGCGAACGGGGAGCAGCCCAGAGCCUGAAUCAGUGUGUGUGUUAGUGGAAGCGUCUGGAAAGGCGCGCGAUACAGGGUGACAGCCCCGUACACAAAAAUGCACAUGCUGUGAGCUCGAUGAGUAGGGCGGGACACGUGGUAUCCUGUCUGAAUAUGGGGGGACCAUCCUCCAAGGCUAAAUACUCCUGACUGACCGAUAGUGAACCAGUACCGUGAGGGAAAGGCGAAAAGAACCCCGGCGAGGGGAGUGAAAAAGAACCUGAAACCGUGUACGUACAAGCAGUGGGAGCCUCUUUAUGGGGUGACUGCGUACCUUUUGUAUAAUGGGUCAGCGACUUAUAUUCUGUAGCAAGGUUAACCAAAUAGGGGAGCCGAAGGGAAACCGAGUCUUAACUGGGCGUUAAGUUGCAGGGUAUAGACCCGAAACCCGGUGAUCUAGCCAUGGGCAGGUUGAAGGUUGGGUAACACUAACUGGAGGACCGAACCGACUAAUGUUGAAAAAUUAGCGGAUGACUUGUGGCUGGGGGUGAAAGGCCAAUCAAACCGGGAGAUAGCUGGUUCUCCCCGAAAGCUAUUUAGGUAGCGCCUCGUGAAUUCAUCUCCGGGGGUAGAGCACUGUUUCGGCAAGGGGGUCAUCCCGACUUACCAACCCGAUGCAAACUGCGAAUACCGGAGAAUGUUAUCACGGGAGACACACGGCGGGUGCUAACGUCCGUCGUGAAGAGGGAAACAACCCAGACCGCCAGCUAAGGUCCCAAAGUCAUGGUUAAGUGGGAAACGAUGUGGGAAGGCCCAGACAGCCAGGAUGUUGGCUUAGAAGCAGCCAUCAUUUAAAGAAAGCGUAAUAGCUCACUGGUCGAGUCGGCCUGCGCGGAAGAUGUAACGGGGCUAAACCAUGCACCGAAGCUGCGGCAGCGACGCUUAUGCGUUGUUGGGUAGGGGAGCGUUCUGUAAGCCUGCGAAGGUGUACUGUGAGGUAUGCUGGAGGUAUCAGAAGUGCGAAUGCUGACAUAAGUAACGAUAAAGCGGGUGAAAAGCCCGCUCGCCGGAAGACCAAGGGUUCCUGUCCAACGUUAAUCGGGGCAGGGUGAGUCGACCCCUAAGGCGAGGCCGAAAGGCGUAGUCGAUGGGAAACAGGUUAAUAUUCCUGUACUUGGUGUUACUGCGAAGGGGGGACGGAGAAGGCUAUGUUGGCCGGGCGACGGUUGUCCCGGUUUAAGCGUGUAGGCUGGUUUUCCAGGCAAAUCCGGAAAAUCAAGGCUGAGGCGUGAUGACGAGGCACUACGGUGCUGAAGCAACAAAUGCCCUGCUUCCAGGAAAAGCCUCUAAGCAUCAGGUAACAUCAAAUCGUACCCCAAACCGACACAGGUGGUCAGGUAGAGAAUACCAAGGCGCUUGAGAGAACUCGGGUGAAGGAACUAGGCAAAAUGGUGCCGUAACUUCGGGAGAAGGCACGCUGAUAUGUAGGUGAAGCGACUUGCUCGUGGAGCUGAAAUCAGUCGAAGAUACCAGCUGGCUGCAACUGUUUAUUAAAAACACAGCACUGUGCAAACACGAAAGUGGACGUAUACGGUGUGACGCCUGCCCGGUGCCGGAAGGUUAAUUGAUGGGGUUAGCGGCAACGCGAAGCUCUUGAUCGAAGCCCCGGUAAACGGCGGCCGUAACUAUAACGGUCCUAAGGUAGCGAAAUUCCUUGUCGGGUAAGUUCCGACCUGCACGAAUGGCGUAAUGAUGGCCAGGCUGUCUCCACCCGAGACUCAGUGAAAUUGAACUCGCUGUGAAGAUGCAGUGUACCCGCGGCAAGACGGAAAGACCCCGUGAACCUUUACUAUAGCUUGACACUGAACAUUGAGCCUUGAUGUGUAGGAUAGGUGGGAGGCUUUGAAGUGUGGACGCCAGUCUGCAUGGAGCCGACCUUGAAAUACCACCCUUUAAUGUUUGAUGUUCUAACGUUGGCCCCUUAUCGGGGUUGCGGACAGUGUCUGGUGGGUAGUUUGACUGGGGCGGUCUCCUCCUAAAGAGUAACGGAGGAGCACGAAGGUUGGCUAAUCCUGGUCGGACAUCAGGAGGUUAGUGCAAUGGCAUAAGCCAGCUUGACUGCGAGCGUGACGGCGCGAGCAGGUGCGAAAGCAGGUCAUAGUGAUCCGGUGGUUCUGAAUGGAAGGGCCAUCGCUCAACGGAUAAAAGGUACUCCGGGGAUAACAGGCUGAUACCGCCCAAGAGUUCAUAUCGACGGCGGUGUUUGGCACCUCGAUGUCGGCUCAUCACAUCCUGGGGCUGAAGUAGGUCCCAAGGGUAUGGCUGUUCGCCAUUUAAAGUGGUACGCGAGCUGGGUUUAGAACGUCGUGAGACAGUUCGGUCCCUAUCUGCCGUGGGCGCUGGAGAACUGAGGGGGGCUGCUCCUAGUACGAGAGGACCGGAGUGGACGCAUCACUGGUGUUCGGGUUGUCAUGCCAAUGGCACUGCCCGGUAGCUAAAUGCGGAAGAGAUAAGUGCUGAAAGCAUCUAAGCACGAAACUUGCCCCGAGAUGAGUUCUCCCUGACCCUUUAAGGGUCCUGAAGGAACGUUGAAGACGACGACGUUGAUAGGCCGGGUGUGUAAGCGCAGCGAUGCGUUGAGCUAACCGGUACUAAUGAACCGUGAGGCUUAACCUU